GGGGAUAUAGCUCAGUUGGUAGAGUGCUUGCCUUGCAUGCAUAAGGCCCUGGGUUCGAUCCCCAGCACCA
This 70-nucleotide transfer RNA is filed under the name Ictidomys tridecemlineatus (thirteen-lined ground squirrel). RNAcentral describes it as "Spermophilus tridecemlineatus (thirteen-lined ground squirrel) tRNA". It matches the Rfam family "tRNA". Rfam says of the family: Transfer RNA (tRNA) molecules are approximately 80 nucleotides in length. Lineage: Eukaryota; Metazoa; Chordata; Mammalia; Rodentia; Sciuridae. The record is from Rfam by way of RNAcentral.